CGUAGGGGGCAAGCGUUGUCCGGAUUUAUUGGGCGUAAAGCGCUCGCAGGUGGUUCAUUGCGUCGUGCGUGAAAGACCCCGGCUCAACUGGGGAGGGUCGUGCGAAACGGGUGAACUAGAGGCCAGUAGGGGGAUGCGGAAUUCCGGGUGUAGUGGUGGAAUGCGUAGAGAUCCGGAGGAACACCAGCGGCGAAGGCGGCAUCCUGGACUGGUCCUGACACUCAGGAGCGAAAGCGUGGGGAGCGAUCCGGAUU
Molecule: ribosomal RNA, 254 nt
Filed under: uncultured bacterium
Lineage: Bacteria
Description: partial 16S ribosomal RNA
Rfam family: Bacterial small subunit ribosomal RNA
Source: RNAcentral